CAGUCGCCACGGGAAUACGUAGGUGGCAAGCGUUGUCCGGAAUUAUUGGGCGUAAAGGGCUCGCAGGCGGUUUCUUAAGUCUGAUGUGAAAGCCCCCGGCUCAACCGGGGAGGGUCAUUGGAAACUGGGAAACUUGAGUGCAGAAGAGGAGAGUGGAAUUCCACGUGUAGCGGUGAAAUGCGUAGAGAUGUGGAGGAACACCAGUGGCGAAGGCGACUCUCUGGUCUGUAACUGACGCUGAGGAGCGAAAGCGUGGGGAGCGAACAGGAUUAGAUACCCGCGUAGUCCCUGUCUCUUAUAU
Molecule: ribosomal RNA, 301 nt
Filed under: uncultured bacterium
Lineage: Bacteria
Description: partial 16S ribosomal RNA
Rfam family: Bacterial small subunit ribosomal RNA
Source: RNAcentral